CUAUGGUGGUAAAAACAGAAACAAGAGGUCCAACAGGUAUGUGUAGGUGUGCGUGCUCAGUCCUGUUUGACUCUUCGUGACCCCAUGUACUGUAGCCCGCCAGGCUCCUUUGUCCGUGGGAUUUUCCAGGGAAGAAUACUGGCGUAGGUUGCUGUACCCUUCUCCUGGGGAUCUUCCUGACCCAGGGACUGAAUACAGCUGUCCUGUAUUGCAGGUGGAUUCUUUACUGCUGAGCCACCGGGGAAGAUCCCAGACAGAGAUGCAGCCUUCCUCAAAAGUAUCCUCAGGACUACUGACAGAUGAUGGCUGAUGAAACAGAAGUUUUGGUCACAAUCAACGUGCUGCCUUGAUUUUCUUUUAAAAUUUCCUGUGCCAGCAAUCAAGGUGGAUUCUUUACCAGCUGAGCUACCAAGGAAGCCCAAUCUUUCCUAUUCCCUACCAAAUGAAAGGAUAUUUGGCAUCUUCUGGAAGAGGAAUCAAGGGCAUGUCAAACAUGGGCCAACAAACAUUGUUGGUGCAAGUUCCUGUGCCCAACACAUGGUUUUCAUUGGUUCAACAUAAGUGGCUGCUCCAGACUUUGAACAUCUUCAGUGAAACCUUGUGAGAAGGUUUAACCUUUCUCUGGUCACGUAUCAAAACUCCAAGUGAAUUGGAACACUUAGAACAUAACUAUUCUGACAGGAGGCACUAUUUCAAGGUAUGAAAAUGAGUUUUGCAUGUAGUUUUGCAUUAUUGUUCCAGGACAUAUUAGAUUCAUAACACUGGACUUAAAGAAAAAAUCUAUAACUCUCAAACUUCUUCAUAGAAUGAGAAGUACAAAUGGUCUCUUCAAGGCUGUUGUGUUGUUUAAUCAGAUAGCAUCUGAGAUUCCUUGUUGUUUUGUUCUUAACAUGUUAAAAUGGUAUUUAACUAGUUUUGGCUAAUCUAUGACUAAUGUUUGGGCUUCCCAAGUGGGAAGAAUCUGCCUACCAAUGCAGGAGAUGUGGGUUUGAUUCCUGAGUCAGAAAGAUCCCCUGGACGAGGAAAUGGCAAUCCUCUCCAGUAUUUUUGCCUAGUGAAUCCCAUGGACAGAGGAGCCUGGUGGGCUACAAUCCACAGAGUUGCAAAGAGUCGGACACGACCAGACGCACACAUACACACCUGUCUGAUGUUAUAUAUAUAAUAGUAUAUAUGACCCUAUGUGC
RNAcentral lists this long non-coding RNA (1184 nucleotides) under Bos indicus x Bos taurus (hybrid cattle). RNAcentral describes it as "lncRNA (ENSBIXG00005006445.1)". The record is from RNAcentral. Lineage: Eukaryota; Metazoa; Chordata; Mammalia; Artiodactyla; Bovidae.